Molecule: small RNA, 1264 nt
Filed under: Rattus norvegicus (Norway rat)
Lineage: Eukaryota; Metazoa; Chordata; Mammalia; Rodentia; Muridae
Description: uncharacterized LOC103691076
Source: RNAcentral
UGAGUGCGUGCGUGCGGGUGUGCGUGUGUGUGUAUCUACAUAUAUGUGGCUUGGAGGUGAGAAGAGACUUUGGGACAGAGACUUGUCAGUCCAGCUGAACUCCACGGUAUUAUGGUCCCUUCUGUCUGGACUACAUUUCCCAAUGGCACCAGCGAGAGCUGGGCCGUCGCCCCUUUGUGUCCUCCGAGAACCCUGGCAACAGAGGAGCUUCUUUCCCGCCCCCACCCCUUCCUACCCCGAGGCUAGAUUCCAAUUUAAGGGCAGCGGGUGUGGCAGCCUGAGUGGAGGAGAUUCCAGAGGCUUCAGGGAAGAGGCGAGAUCUUUCUGCAGUUCCUUCUGCCUGUAGGGAGUGGUCAGCGUGUCUCCGAGACUCUGGUCUUUAGGUCCUCUGGGCGUCCCUGGGAGUAAGAGAGUAGUUGGUACAGUUUGAGACUGUCACCAGAUGUGAACUAUGCCUGGUCCCUUUCUCUUUCCCACUUGUUUACGGUCGUGGAGCCUCUUUGUGACCAAGAUGUGAGACCGUUGUUAGGGAUGCCAGCCUAUGGCACCAGAGCGUCUGAGACUUGGAGGUAUAGGAGAGGGCUAAACAUCUGAUACCGUGUACACCCACGGCCUUUAACUGUGGCACGUGUGCGACAGUGGCUGGCAAUAUGUUUGAGACUGUGAGGGUCCUGAAACUUGUCACCCAGUAUCUUUUCAGGCUAAGUGGUGACAGUAUGCUACGAGUUUCUGAAUCACUCUUCUGAUGGAGAGGAUGAUUAACGCUUAUUUAAUCUUAGUGACUUAUUUAUUCAAGGUGUAUCUUUAUCUAAACACCACGCAUCUCUUUAUCUGUAAGCUGUGUAAAUUUGCUGCCCAAGUAAUAAAUUGGAAAUGAACUUAGGCAUGGAUUAUAUCGUGUGCAAACAAAUCGCUACGUCUCCGUCUUGCUCUGUCUACUGAAGGGAAGGUUGGGGCCGGAGGAAGAAACAUAGAAUGGAGAUGGUGACCUUCAGAGAUGUGGCAAUAGACUUCUCCCAAGAGGAACGGGAUUGCCUGAAUCCUUCUCAAAGGCAUUUGUACAGUCAUGUGAUGUUGGAGAGCUAUAGAAUCUUGGUGUCUCUGGGCUGGGAGCCUGUGUAUGAGACUGAAGAGUUAAUCCCAAAGCAGGAACUCUAUGAAGAAGAGUCAUCCAGAAAGAUAAUAGAAGAACUUAGAAGUCUUGGCCUGGAGUAUCCCAGUUUGGUGGGAGAAUGGAGCCAGGGUCAUCAUUUCAAGAGGCAAU